This 301-nucleotide ribosomal RNA is filed under the name uncultured bacterium. RNAcentral describes it as "partial 16S ribosomal RNA". It matches the Rfam family "Bacterial small subunit ribosomal RNA", at positions 509 to 809 of the family's 1533-position model. The record is from RNAcentral.
CAGCAGCCGCGGUAAACCGUAGGGUGCGAGCGUUAAUCGGAAUUACUGGGCGUAAAGCGUGCGUAGGCGGUUUGUUAAGUCUGUUGUGAAAUCCCCGGGCUCAACCUGGGAAUGGCAAUGGAUACUGGCUCGCUAGAGUGUGUCAGAGGAUGGUGGAAUUCCCGGUGUAGCGGUGAAAUGCGUAGAGAUCGGGAGGAACAUCAGUGGCGAAGGCGGCCAUCUGGGACAACACUGACGCUGAGGCACGAAAGCGUGGGGAGCAAACAGGAUUAGAUACCCGUGUAGUCCCUGUCUCUUAUAA